This 410-nucleotide ribosomal RNA is filed under the name uncultured soil bacterium. Its description in RNAcentral is "bacterial SSU rRNA". It matches the Rfam family "Bacterial small subunit ribosomal RNA", at positions 26 to 428 of the family's 1533-position model. The record is from RNAcentral.
AGAUUGAACGCUAGCGGGAUGCUUUACACAUGCAAGUCGAACGGCAGCGCGGACUUCGGUCUGGCGGCGAGUGGCGAACGGGGUGAGUAAUAUAUCGGAACGUGCCCAGUAGCGGGGGGAUAACUACGCGAAAGCGUGGCUAAUACCGCAUACGCCCUACGGGGGAAAGGGGGGGAUUCUUUCGAGAACCUCUCACUAUUGGAGCGGCCGAUAUCAGAUUAGCUAGUUGGUGAGGUAAAGGCUCACCAAGGCGACGAUCUGUAGCUGGUUUGAGAGGACGACCACGCCACACGUGGGACUGACGACACGGCCCAGACCUCCGUACGGGAGGCAGCAGGUGGGAAUUUGGACAAGUGGGGAACCUGAUCAGCACUCCGCGUGUGCGAUAGGACGGUCCGUUCGGUUAGUAA